RNAcentral lists this ribosomal RNA (367 nucleotides) under Thraustochytrium sp. Its description in RNAcentral is "partial small subunit ribosomal RNA". It matches the Rfam family "Eukaryotic small subunit ribosomal RNA", at positions 584 to 975 of the family's 1831-position model. Lineage: Eukaryota; Bigyra; Thraustochytrida; Thraustochytriidae. The record is from RNAcentral.
UCCAGCUCCAAUAGCAUAUAUUAACGUUGUUGCAGUUGAAAAGCUCGUAGUUGAACUUUUGGUAGGAGCGACCUGGCCUUGGGCGCAUGCCCUUGUUUGCCGUGUGUCGUAUCUGGCCAUCCUUUUCUUCUUCGGAAGGAAUCAUUUACUGUGAGUAAACUGGAGUGCUCAAAUCAAGACGUUUGUUUGGUACAUUAAAGCAUGGAAUAAUAAGAUAGGACCUGGUUACUAUUUUGUUGGUUUGCAUAGCUAGGUAAUGAUUAACAGGGACAGUUGGGGGUAUUCGUAUUUAAUUGUCAGAGGUGAAACUCUUGGAUUUAUGAAAGACGAACGACUGCGAAAGCAUUUACCAAGGAUGUUUUCAUCA